RNAcentral lists this long non-coding RNA (2833 nucleotides) under Homo sapiens (human). Its description in RNAcentral is "HSALNT0252439". The record is from RNAcentral. Lineage: Eukaryota; Metazoa; Chordata; Mammalia; Primates; Hominidae.
UGACUAUCCACAGGCAGGGCUAGAAAAGGGAGUGGAACAUUUUACUUAGGCAGGAAGCACUGAAGAGAAGAAUCUUUUUUUCAGUAGACAUUUGUGGGAAAUAAAAAUUUGUUUAGAAGAAUUUAGGCCAAGAGAUAAAAUGGUCUUCUUUUGACUGAGGAGAGAUAAGAUAGAUUUUAAGCAGACAUCUGAAGUUAAAGGUGAGAGAAGGAAGAUAAACUGGGUGAUUUUGCUCACCUAAGAAGGUACACAGAUCCAAAGAAAAAGAGAUUCGAGAGGUGUCUCCAGCUUCUGAUUUUGAUGACAUCUCCCAGAGAGGACCGUGUUGCCAUCACCAUCCCAGAGUCUGAAAGUGUCCAGGUCAGAGACGCUUUCACUAAGGUGUCUACAUCCUGCAACUAUAGAUGAAUCUCUAACAAGCUGCCUGCUUUGAGACCUAUUACUUCCAUAAUGGGACUCAUUGCUUUCCUAAGCAGCCCUUGUAAUUUUCAGCAAGGUCCUUUAACUCAGUUAAUGUGAAACAUUUGUUCAUGCCUAAUUUGUCGGAGCCCGGCCAUAGUUGUGUUCUCCUUGAGUUGCAGAAGGUUGAUUGUGGGGGUAAAACGGUCAGCCUCAAGUGACUACAUAUCUCCGCUGAAUUAUAGUAAUUACUGUGGAUUGCAUUUGGUUGGUGGAUUGCAUUUGGUUGUCGUGGAGAGAGGCCCUCCACGACAAGGUUAACAAGCAGAAGGUAACCAGACAUCAGAAUAUAAGUGCCUCAUCACAUACAGACAAUUGUUGACAGUGCAUUUUUUUCGUCUCAUAAUUAUGAUAAGGUUCGGUAAUGGAUGCAGCUGUACAAUGCCCUGGAAAUUAAAUUCUAGAAUCCAUAAUGUAAGGAAAAUUAGAAUACAGUAGCAGUAUUUUUCUUCAAAUUCUGAUAUUAAGACAGUCCUUUGCAAAUGCUUUAAAAUGUUAGAUAACCCCAUUUUUAUGGAACUUUGGUAAUUCUCACCUCUAAUUCUCACCAUUUCAGACUCACAUCACACUCUUCUUUGUUUGGUAGUUUUUUUUUUUUCAAAGUGAGAAGAGAACAUUAUUUGGCUAUAAUUCAAAAUGACAGCUGCAUUCUUUUUGAUUUUUUUUCUCAUAACUUGGUAUAUCAAAACUGAUUUUGUUGCUUGUAUACCAUCCCCAAAACCAUUUAUUUUAUUUUAACGUGUGUUUAUAUAAGAUUUAAAUUAGCUUUUUCCUUUCUCUUUCCUUUGCAUCUGUCAAGAGUGGAAGACUUUUUUUUCAACUCUACCAUUACGAUGACCUUAAAGUCCUAGCUGUGGAAUUAUAUUAGAAAACUAACCUUCAAAUAAAAUUUGGAUAGGAGACAACUGCGUAAUAAGCAUGCAGACAUUUGAGUUUUAGCAUAAUCUUCCUUUGAAGUGUAAUUUAUAAAAUGUACAUAUACUUUAUCAUUACCCAUAAUUUAAUGAAGCAUGAUGUAGAAUAUAUAAAAUAUUCUUCUAGGGGAGAAAAUUAACAUUUUCUAAUAUGCACACAUGUGGAGCAUACAUAUGGAACAUUUAUCACACACUUUAUUUAUAUUACUAACUGUAUACAGUAAAAUUACAUGAUGUUACUUUUAUUUUAGAAACUAAAUCUCAAGCUGUGUAGUUUGAGUAAAGGCUAACAGUAAAAAGUUUCCAUAACUAUUCCUCAACUUUAAAAAUCAACCUAUUAAAUAUUUUAAAAGAAACUGUGACUUUGAAAUAUAAUUGGAUUAUGGGCGGUCAUUCAUCCCAGAGGAAUGACAUUUUAUAGAAAAGAUAACUUGAGCACUGAUAGUAUGGAACCAUGCUAAUAGAGAAAUUAUGUUUCACUUUCUAGUUUACUAAUCAGUAACUCGUCUCGAUUUUGCUCUUGCGAGAUUGUGUGUGCAUGUGCGUGUGUGUGUGUGUGUGUGUGUGUGUGUGCAUAUUUGUGUGAGGGAGAUCUUCCUUAAGGGAAGACCAUAAUAAAAUCAUAUACAAUGGUAUAAAAUGAGAUAUUUUCUUUCUCAUGAGCUUCUGACAAAUUUCAGAUAAAACUUAUUUCAAAAAAAAUUGUCAUGUGAAAGACAUAGAACAGCUAAAAUUUCUACAAAUAUAAGGGUCAUCAACUAAUAAAUGAAUUAAAAUAGAUGCAAUGAUUAGAAAAAAGAAACAAUAUAAAUAAAAUUUAACAAAGGAAGCAUCCAACAAAAACAAAAUCAUGAGAGAAAUCAUGAGAACUAAUACCUGGACAUGGGGGGUUGGGGGGAGUAGGGAGAGAGAGAGAGAAAGAGACUUAUUUACAAUUUCCAAAAAGCAGUUGCUGAAUUUUUUUUUUAACUCUCAUUUUGCUUUAUUUGGUGACAAGCUCCAUUUGAUAAGAACAGAUAAUUAAGUUGUUUGUUCUUCACUAUCACAGUCUAUAUUUAAAGUCUUUACUUCUGGAAUAUGGUGAAUAACAUUGAGGCUGAGACUUGAGCACAUUCAUAUUCAAGAGCAAAGAUCAGGUCUGCACUUAAUAAAAGUAAAACCCUGCUCUCCUUUGUGUAAUAAGCCUAUAAAGUAGACUUUUUCUUUAGCUUGGCUAAAAGCGGCUCUAUUGUGUGUGUAAUUUUGAAUAAUUAUCUCUAUGUAAAUCAGAAACUGCCUUGUGACCCAACAUAGCUUUACUUUGUUAAAAUUUCUGUCCUUAGAAAACAAUGUUUCCCAAGGAAGAACUUUAUCACUAUUUACAUAAAUCUUAUGAAUCAGAAUGAACAAAAUUAUUACAAUUCACACAAAGUGGACUGCAAACCAAACAUAGAUAUGUGAUUUUUUAAAGGGGAAUUUUC